This is a small nuclear RNA of Dromiciops gliroides (monito del monte), 103 nucleotides long. NCBI's taxonomy places the organism in Eukaryota, Metazoa, Chordata, Mammalia, Microbiotheria, Microbiotheriidae. The record is from RefSeq and is a predicted model, not a curated record.
GUGCUCACUUCAGCAGCACAUAUAUUGAAAUUGGAAUGAUAAAGAAAUUAGCAUAGCUCUGUGCAAGGAUGACACGCAAAUGCAUGAAGUGUUCCAGAUUUUU